RNAcentral lists this ribosomal RNA (497 nucleotides) under uncultured bacterium. RNAcentral describes it as "partial 16S ribosomal RNA". It matches the Rfam family "Bacterial small subunit ribosomal RNA", at positions 28 to 507 of the family's 1533-position model. The record is from RNAcentral.
GAUGAACGCUGGCGGCGUGCCUAAUACAUGCAAGUCGAGCGAACAGACGAGGAGCUUGCUCCUCUGACGUUAGCGGCGGACGGGUGAGUAACACGUGGAUAACCUACCUAUAAGACUGGGAUAACUUCGGGAAACCGGAGCUAAUACCGGAUAAUAUAUUGAACCGCAUGGUUCAAUAUUGAAAGACGGUUUUGCUGUCACUUAUAGAUGGAUCCGCGCCGCAUUAGCUAGUUGGUAAGGUAACGGCUUACCAAGGCAACGAUGCGUAGCCGACCUGAGAGGGUGAUCGGCCACACUGGAACUGAGACACGGUCCAGACUCCUACGGGAGGCAGCAGUAGGGAAUCUUCCGCAAUGGGCGAAAGCCUGACGGAGCAACGCCGCGUGAGUGAUGAAGGUCUUCGGAUCGUAAAACUCUGUUAUUAGGGAAGAGCAAAUGUGUAAGUAACUAUGCACGUCUUGACGGUACCUAAUCAGAAAGCCACGGCUAACUACGUG